RNAcentral lists this unclassified non-coding RNA (339 nucleotides) under Zea mays. RNAcentral describes it as "misc RNA Zm00001eb273830". The record is from RNAcentral. Lineage: Eukaryota; Viridiplantae; Streptophyta; Magnoliopsida; Poales; Poaceae.
AUUGAAGCCAACCAAUAUCAUAGAAGGUACAUCAACACCACAGAACAAGUUACAACUGCAGUUAAUCGAGAACUCACCAUCAAAUCCUUUUCAAAAUUUAUCCACACGUACUCCACCACCCAUACAGGCUGCAAGGAAGCUAAUAUAUCCACCGCUCAGUAACCCCGUCACAUAUCAACAUACUCCCAAGUCUGAUGGCGAAGAAGAAAUUACAGAGCAAACAAUGAACACCAGUCAAAUCAAAGGAAAAAACAGUAUGCCCUCAUUCGAAUCUCCUCCAAAAAGGUUCAAGAAAGGAAGCUUAGAUAUCCAAAGCAAUGAUGACGAUGUCCAGGAGAA